GCAUCUCUGGUUCCACUCUUUCAAGGAGUCACAGUUGAGUCGAAGUCAGGCGGGUUGAUGACUUCCGAUGCUGAGUUGUGGAAUGGAAGGUUGGCGAUGUUGGGACUGGUCGCGUUGGCCUUCACCGAAUAUGUCAAGGGAGGGACACUUGUGUAGGGUGUUAGAAUUGAGGUUGCAUAAUUGGAAAAGAGUAAUUAAGAAUGUAAUCCUCCAAAGCAAAUAGAGUGAACUAUUACUUGAGUGCAGAUGUUGUGCAUAAUGCCUUCUUGAUUAGAUUUCAAUUUACGGUAUUCAUACUGUAGUUCGUUCUAUCAAAGAAUAUGCAAGGUAUUAAUCAACAUGGAGUAUACUUUGAAAUAAAUUUCUUCCGUAAAGGAAACGUCUAAAGGACAUACCUCGAUUAAUAUCUGAGAUGGUACUUGCAAACUAAUAAGCCCCAAGCACCUCUGCCAAUGAUUUCACCCAGAUGAGUAAAAAGUGAAUGAAGAACACACUUGAAUCAGAAGGAUGUCAAACUUUUCGUAAGUAAAUCGAGUAACGCAACAAUAACAAGGAUGAAUGGAGGGAGUUCGGAUCAUUCAUUGGAUGAGGGGAAUAUCAGAGGAUCUCUCAGAGAAAGCGAUUUUGCAACUAAAACAGAUCAAACUUCAAAUUUACCUCUUCCAAAAAUGGGGGAAAUUCACCAACUCGUCAACAACGUUUCUGGAGAAUGUUGCUAUCAACCAUUGAAAUAUCUUCC
Molecule: long non-coding RNA, 739 nt
Filed under: Eucalyptus grandis
Lineage: Eukaryota; Viridiplantae; Streptophyta; Magnoliopsida; Myrtales; Myrtaceae
Description: long non-coding RNA (EGRA_LNC000567)
Source: RNAcentral